CCUACGGGUGGCAGCAGUGAGGAAUAUUGGUCAAUGGGCGGGAGCCUGAACCAGCCAAGUCGCGUGAGGGAAGACGGUCCUACGGAUUGUAAACCUCUUUUGCCGGGGAGCAACGGGGUCCUUGCGAGGGCCCGAUGAGAGUACCCGGAGAAAAAGCAUCGGCUAACUCCGUGCCAGCAGCCGCGGUAAUACGGAGGAUGCGAGCGUUAUCCGGAUUUAUUGGGUUUAAAGGGUGCGUAGGCGGUCCGUUAAGUCAGCGGUAAAAUUGCGGGGCUCAACCCCGUCGAGCCGUUGAAACUGGCAGACUUGAGUUGGCGAGAAGUACGCGGAAUGCGCGGUGUAGCGGUGAAAUGCAUAGAUAUCGCGCAGAACUCCGAUUGCGAAGGCAGCGUACCGGCGCCAGACUGACGCUGAGGCACGAAAGCGUGGGGAUCGAACAGGAUUAGAUACCCGGGUAGUC
Molecule: ribosomal RNA, 460 nt
Filed under: uncultured bacterium
Lineage: Bacteria
Description: partial 16S ribosomal RNA
Rfam family: Bacterial small subunit ribosomal RNA
Source: RNAcentral